Non-coding RNA from Gymnothorax javanicus (giant moray), 85 nucleotides. The record is from the annotation of a GenBank genome assembly. NCBI's taxonomy places the organism in Eukaryota, Metazoa, Chordata, Actinopteri, Anguilliformes, Muraenidae.
GCUGCCGAUAGCUCAUUCGGUUAAGGCACUGCGUUGCAGGGCAGUAGUGACUAUCAUGUCGCGGGUUCGAGCCCCGGUCGUACCA